UUAUCUAUAGCUUAAGUAAAGCGUGACUCUGAAGAAGUUAAUAUGAUUAGAUUCUGGAUUUUUAAUCGAUAAA
This 73-nucleotide transfer RNA is filed under the name Liposcelis bostrychophila. RNAcentral's name for it is "tRNA-Phe". Lineage: Eukaryota; Metazoa; Arthropoda; Insecta; Psocodea; Liposcelididae. The record is from RNAcentral.